RNAcentral lists this long non-coding RNA (1105 nucleotides) under Chloebia gouldiae (Gouldian finch). RNAcentral's name for it is "Erythrura gouldiae (Gouldian finch) lncRNA (ENSEGOG00005005293.1)". Lineage: Eukaryota; Metazoa; Chordata; Aves; Passeriformes; Passeridae. The record is from RNAcentral.
GCUUCAACAGCUGCUGAGCUUCCCAGGGCUGGGGGCUGCGGGACUCCGGAGGGACAGAGGACAUGGGGAUGGGGAGCUCGGGUGACUCCCCAGGGAAAGGAGCAGCUGGGAAAGAGCAGGCAAACGCUUUCUGCUGAAGUUGUGGAGAUGAGGGGUCUGGCUGGAGCUGUGGCUGGGGGAUGGAGCCAGGGGGAGGGGGCUCACAGCUCCAUCUGGGACACGUUCCUGUCCUGCUGAUGGCACGGGGACCACCGUGUGCACUCCUGCUGUGUCGGACCUCCUGGACCACUGCAGAGACCAUAAGGAAAACUCCACACCAAACCUGUGUAAAACUUUGCAGCAGGUGAAGCUGAGAGCAGUGGAAAGCCCCCACCCACCCUGCCACAGCACAUGGGCAAAGCGGGAGCUCCAUCUGAGGGACCCUAGGCCUACUCUGGGCUCUUCAAAGUCCCCUCUGGUGGCCUUAUCCUCUGCUGAUAGGAUCCUCUGGUACCUUAUGGGGAGGCUCAGGGGGAAAUCUGUCUGCAAGGAAGGGAUAGGAAGGAUAUCCUGUUUCCCUAGGGAAGAGGUCAUCAGGUAAAGCAGCCAAGGGAAUCCUGUCCUGCAGCAGCCAGACCAGAGCAAAGGGCUCCCCUGGGGAUUGAGGGAAGCCUGAUUGCCCACUGGGAGGUUUGGGGUUAGUCCUGCUGGCACUGAGACUGUGCAGGACCUACUGGAACUCUCACAGAGCCUGUGGUUCAACCCAGUUAUUUGCAGGGUCACCAGUAUUGCAGUCCUUAUGCUCCCAAGCCCUCUGUGGUGGCUCCAGCCUGGCUCCUGCUCCUCACCCAGACUAUUUUGGGACAGCACAGGAUGGUCAAAGCCCUCAUCUGCCAGACCCCAGGCAAGGAAUCCUGGACCCCCUGAGCAGCCCUCAGGUGCCCUGUCAGCUGCUGGGGGACAAGGAAAUCCCGCGCACCUCUCCGUGGACAAACCCAGAUGUGCUCCAGGCCCCCCUUUUCCCCGGACAGCACAUCCCCGGGGUGCCGCCAGCCUUGAGGGUCCCGGGGGGCUGCAGUGAGCGCUCCAGCCCUGCCCGGGGGCCCGGGCCUGCCCUGCCCGGGAG